UACGUAGGGGGGCAAGCGUUGUCCGGAAUUAUUGGGCGUAAAGAGCUUGUAGGUGGUUUGUCGCGUCUGCUGUGAAAAUCCGAGGCUCAACCUCGGACUUGCAGUGGGUACGGGCAGACUAGAGUGUGGUAGGGGAGACUGGAAUUCCUGGUGUAGCGGUGGAAUGCGCAGAUAUCAGGAGGAACACCGAUGGCGAAGGCAGGUCUCUGGGCAGUAACUGACGCUGGAGGAGCGAAAGCGUGGGGAGCGAACAGG
RNAcentral lists this ribosomal RNA (255 nucleotides) under uncultured bacterium. RNAcentral's name for it is "partial 16S ribosomal RNA". It matches the Rfam family "Bacterial small subunit ribosomal RNA", at positions 524 to 776 of the family's 1533-position model. The record is from RNAcentral.